UGGGGAAUAUUGCACAAUGGGGGGAAACCCGUGAUGCAGCGACGCCGCGUGAGUGAAGAAGUAUUUCGGUAUGUAAAGCUCUAUCAGCAGGAAAGAAAAUGACGGUACCUGACUAAGAAGCCCCGGCUAACUACGUGCC
Molecule: ribosomal RNA, 139 nt
Filed under: uncultured bacterium
Lineage: Bacteria
Description: partial 16S ribosomal RNA
Rfam family: Bacterial small subunit ribosomal RNA
Source: RNAcentral